UGGGGAAUAUUGCGCAAUGGGGGGAACCCUGACGCAGCCAUGCCGCGUGAAUGAAGAAGGCCUUAGGGUUGUAAAGUUCUUUCGGUAUUGAGGAAGGUUGAUGUGUUAAUAGCACAUCAAAUUGACGUUAAAUACAGAAGAAGCACCGGCUAACUCCGUGCCAGCAGCCGCGGUAAUACGGAGGGUGCGAGCGUUAAUCGGAAUAACUGGGCGUAAAGGGCACGCAGGCGGUUAUUUAAGUGAGGUGUGAGAGCAGCCCCCGGGCUUAACUUGGAAUUGCAUUUCAGACUGGGUAACUAGAGUACUUUAGGGAGGGGUAGAAUUCCACGUGUAGCGGUGAAAUGCGUAGAGAUGUGGAGGAAUACCGAAGGCGAAGGCAGCCCCUUGGGAAUGUACUGACGCUCAUGUGCGAAAGCGUGGGGAGCAAACAGGAUUAGAUACCCUGGUAGUCCACGCUGUAAACGCUGUCGAUUUGGGGGUUGGGGUUUAACUCUGGCGCCCGUAGCUAACGUGAUAAAUCGACCGCCUGGGGAGUACGGCCGCAAGGUUA
This 550-nucleotide ribosomal RNA is filed under the name uncultured bacterium. RNAcentral's name for it is "bacterial SSU rRNA". It matches the Rfam family "Bacterial small subunit ribosomal RNA", at positions 355 to 896 of the family's 1533-position model. The record is from RNAcentral.